Molecule: RNA transcript, 2246 nt
Organism: Lagenorhynchus albirostris (white-beaked dolphin)
Lineage: Eukaryota; Metazoa; Chordata; Mammalia; Artiodactyla; Delphinidae
Gene: PRMT6
Gene name: protein arginine methyltransferase 6
Exons: 2
Source: RefSeq, a predicted model, not a curated record
GGCGGGCACUCGCCCGGUGCCCCGCCAAAAGCUGGCGGGACGAGCGCGCACUACAAAUACCAGAAACCCCCGCUUCCUAGAGCUCCCGCCGCGUCGCGCAACGCACGCCGGGAGCCGGCCCGAGCCGCCAAGAUGUCGCAGCCCAAGAGAAGAAAGCUUGAGUCGGGGGGCGGCGGCGAAGGAGGGGAGGGAACUGAAGAGGAAGAUGGCGGAGAGCUGGAGGUGGCCCUGCCACGACCCCGGAGGACUAGGCGGGAGCGAGACCAGCUGUACUACCAGUGCUACUCGGAUGUAUCGGUCCACGAGGAGAUGAUUGCCGACCGCGUCCGCACCGAUGCCUACCGCCUGGGCAUUCUGCGGAACUGGGCAGCGCUGCGGGGCAAGACUGUGCUGGACGUGGGCGCGGGCACGGGCAUUCUCAGCAUCUUCUGUGCCCAGGCCGGGGCCCGGCGCGUGUACGCGGUGGAGGCCAGCGACAUCUGGCAACAGGCCCGGGAGGUGGUGCGGCUCAACGGGCUGGAGGACCGGGUGCACGUCCUGCCGGGGCCAGUGGAGACGGUGGAGUUGCCGGAGCAGGUGGAUGCCAUCGUGAGCGAGUGGAUGGGCUGCGGACUCCUGCACGAGUCCAUGCUGAGCUCUGUGCUCCACGCGCGGACCAAGUGGCUGAAGGAGGGCGGUCUUCUACUGCCGGCUUCCGCCGAGCUCUUCGUGGCGCCCAUCAGCGACCAGAUGCUGGAGUUGCGCCUAAGCUUCUGGAGCCAGAUGAAGCAGCUCUACGGUGUGGACAUGAGCUGCCUGGAGAGCUUCGCCACGCGCUGCCUCAUGGGCCACUCAGAAAUCGUGGUGCAAGGCCUGUCCGGCGAGGAUGUGCUGGCCCGGCCGCAGUGCUUUGCUCAGCUGGAGCUGGCCCGCGCCGGCCUGGAGCAGGAGCUGGAAGCGGGGGUGGGUGGGCGCUUCCGCUUCAGCUGCUACGGCUCGGCUCACAUGCACGGCUUUGCCAUCUGGUUCCAGGUGACCUUCCCCGGAGGGGACUCGGAGAAACCCCUGGUGCUGUCCACCUCGCCUUUUCACCCAGUCACGCACUGGAAGCAGGCACUCCUCUACCUGAACGAGCCUGUGCAAGUGGAGCAAGAUACGGACGUUUCCGGAGAGAUCACGCUGCUGCCCUCCCAGGACAACCACCGUCACCUACGCGUGCUGCUGCGCUACAAAGUGGGCGACCAGGAGGAAAAGACCAAAGACUUUGCCAUGGAGGACUGAGCGUGGCUUUCUCUCCCAGCUACCUCCCGAGGCGGCCAGACCUGCGCGGUAGAGGCGGAGGGGGGUCGGAGGAGAAAGGGAAAUCUCACGUGCAAGUGUUGUUUGACAGUACGAGCAUGGCCGUAUAUGACGAGCAAUGUAUGACACUGGAUACCAGAUGAGCCAAAGGAGCCUAAGCCCUGAAGUGAGGAUUAUUCCAGAAGGAUGAGGUUGUGAGAUGCACCAACAUUCAGGCACUGUCCAAGCUCUGUAUGAACUGGUACUGAUUGCUUAGGGUCAUUUGGGUCACAGGAAGAAACUACCAGCCCUAAGGAGAGAAAAACAUGGUGAAGUCCUACCUGCUUUCCUCAAAGAGCUUACAUUUAUUUAGCACUGUGAAACUUUCCAGAUAUUUUCAUUAACUCACUGGGCCAAUGGACAUUUUAUUCGGUAUACAAUAUAAUAGUCAUUGUGAUAAGUGCUUAGGAUAUAAACCAGUAAAACAUAGUUUCUCCUUCAAAUAGGUAUGUUCACAGGAUAAACCAGAAAGUAAAAUAAACAAAAAAUAAUGGGCAAAAGACUGGGUGGUGUAGGUGUUAGGGAGGGCAAGUAAUUAUCUUCACCUUACAUACUAGGAAAAAGGAGUUACACAGAUUUGGAAGGAUUUAGCCUAAGGUUAUAUAACUAAUUCUUGACAGUUUAACACAAGUCUUUCGAUUCCUAACCCACAAAAGACCCCUUAGAUUAAGGAAGUCUCCCUGGAGACCUGUCUCACAGGCCUCAAAGAGCCACCACCUUCAGUAUAUAGGAUCUUCACGUUGACAAAUACUAGGCACUCACGAAGCAUUCCCUGUUCCCAUUCCCCUAACAGAACUAAUCAAAUGUGGCACUUUCUGAGGCUCCCCCAGGGGACUGAAUCCUCAACAUAGUAGCAAAGGUAGACAAACUCUGCCAUUCUACUUGGUGCUUGAUGCUGGACAGCAGAGAGACAUCUGACCAGGCGGUCA